AGGAUCAACGCUGGCGGCGUGCAUGAGACAUGCAAGUCGAACGGAUGACUCGGGCUUGCUCGAGUCGUUAGUGGCGGACGGCUGAGUAACGCGUGGGUGACCUGCCCCGAAGUGGGGAAUAACUGCCCGAAAGGGUGGCUAAUACCGCAUGUGGUGGUGCGUUCAAUCGCACCAGUAAAGCCGCAAGGCGCUUCGGGAGGGGCCUGCGUCCGAUUAGCUCGUUGGUGGGGUAACGGCUCACCAAGGCGACGAUCGGUAGGUGGUCUGAGAGGACGAUCACCCAGACUGGGACUGAGACACGGCCCAGACUCCUACGGGAGGCAGCAGUCGGGAAUUUUGCUCAAUGGGGGAAACCCUGAAGCAGCAACGCCGCGUGAGGGAUGAAGGCCUUCGGGUUGUAAACCUCUUUCUCAGGGAAGAUAAUGACGGUACCUGAGGAAUAAGCCACGGCUAACUACGUGCCAGCAGCCGC
RNAcentral lists this ribosomal RNA (472 nucleotides) under uncultured bacterium. Its description in RNAcentral is "SSU rRNA". It matches the Rfam family "Bacterial small subunit ribosomal RNA", at positions 26 to 518 of the family's 1533-position model. The record is from RNAcentral.